UAAAUGCAUCAUCUGGAAUGAA
This 22-nucleotide microRNA is filed under the name Limulus polyphemus (Atlantic horseshoe crab). Its description in RNAcentral is "Lpo-Mir-277-P16_3p (mature (guide))". Lineage: Eukaryota; Metazoa; Arthropoda; Merostomata; Xiphosura; Limulidae. The record is from RNAcentral.